This 520-nucleotide ribosomal RNA is filed under the name uncultured fungus. RNAcentral describes it as "bacterial SSU rRNA". It matches the Rfam family "Eukaryotic small subunit ribosomal RNA", at positions 569 to 1085 of the family's 1831-position model. Lineage: Eukaryota; Fungi. The record is from RNAcentral.
AGCAGCCGCGGUAAUUCCAGCUCCAAUAGCGUAUAUUAAAGUUGUUGCAGUUAAAAAGCUCGUAGUUGAAUUUCGGGAUUGGCGUACCGGUCGUGUCUUCGGGCAUGUACUGGUAAUGUUAAUCUCCACCUUCUAGUGAACUAUUAUGCCUUUCACUAGGUGUAAUAGGGAGCUAGGACUGUUACUUUGAAAAAAUUAGAGUGUUUAAAGCAGGCUUUAUGCUUGAAUAGAUUAGCAUGGAAUAACGAAAUAGGACGGCAUGAUUCUAUUUUGUUGGUUUCUAGGAUCACCGUAAUGAUUAAUAGGGAUAGUUGGGGGCAUUAGUAUUCAAUUGUCAGAGGUGAAAUUCUUGGAUUUAUUGAAGACUAACUACUGCGAAAGCAUUUGCCAAGGAUGUUUUCAUUAAUCAAGAACGAAAGUUAGGGGAUCGAAGACGAUCAGAUACCGUCGUAGUCUUAACCAUAAACUAUGCCGACUAGGAAUCAGACUCAGUUUUAUUUUUUAAUGACGUAGUUUGGCA